Molecule: non-coding RNA, 248 nt
Filed under: Pelosinus fermentans
Lineage: Bacteria; Bacillati; Bacillota; Negativicutes; Selenomonadales; Sporomusaceae
Description: T-box sequence
Rfam family: T-box leader
About the family: Uncharged tRNA acts as the effector for transcription antitermination of genes in the T-box leader family. T-boxes are found upstream of many aminoacyl-tRNA synthetase genes and some amino acid biosynthetic genes usually in Gram-positive bacteria.
Source: RNAcentral
GUAAAUAUGAUGAAUAGGAUAAGUAAAUCGGCAGCAUUUUUCAGAGAGCCAGGGGUUGGUGUGACCUGGUAAAUGUACUGAUUGAAAUACACCUAGGAGUAGCAGGUUGAAAGGUAACAAGUAGACCGUGCCGGAAUGCCACCGUUAUUAAAGGCUAGAGUAUCAGGUUAACUGCUUCGUACUCGAAAAGUAAUCGGCUUGCAAUGCAAGCAGGGUGGUACAACGAGUAAUAACAUCUCGUCCCUGUA